CGUGUGGUUCUAUUUUGUUGGUUUCUAGGACCGCCGUAAUGAUUAAUAGGGAUGGUCGGGGGCGUCAGUAUUCGGCUGUCAGAGGUGAAAUUCUUGGAUUUGCCGAAGACUAACUACUGCGAAAGCAUUCGCCAAGGAUGUUUUCAUUAAUCAGUGAACGAAAGUUAGGGGAUCGAAGACGAUCAGAUACCGUCGUAGUCUUAACCAUAAACUAUGCCGACUAGGGAUCGGACGGUGUUUUUAUUAUGACCCGUUCGGCACCUUACGAGAAAUCAAAGUUUUUGGGUUCUGGGGGGAGUAUGGUCGCAAGGCUGAAACUUAAAGAAAUUGACGGAAGGGCACCACCAGGCGUGGAGCCUGCGGCUUAAUUCGACUCAACACGGGGAAACU
This 390-nucleotide ribosomal RNA is filed under the name fungal sp. RNAcentral's name for it is "SSU rRNA". It matches the Rfam family "Eukaryotic small subunit ribosomal RNA", at positions 827 to 1215 of the family's 1831-position model. Lineage: Eukaryota; Fungi. The record is from RNAcentral.